RNAcentral lists this ribosomal RNA (476 nucleotides) under uncultured bacterium. RNAcentral's name for it is "SSU rRNA". It matches the Rfam family "Bacterial small subunit ribosomal RNA", at positions 26 to 518 of the family's 1533-position model. The record is from RNAcentral.
AGAGUGAACGCUGGCGGCAGGCCUAACACAUGCAAGUCGAGCGGCAGCGCGGGUAGCAAUACCUGGCGGCGAGCGGCGGACGGGUGAGGAAUACAUCGGAAUCUACCCUGUCGUGGGGGACAACGUAGGGAAACUUACGCUAAUACCGCAUACGACCUUCGGGUGAAAGUGGGGGACUCGCAAGAGCCUCACGCGAUUGGAUGAGCCGAUGUCCGAUUAGCUAGUUGGCGGGGUAAUGGCCCACCAAGGCGACGAUCGGUAGCUGGUCUGAGAGGACGACCAGCCACACUGGAACUGAGACACGGUCCAGACUCCUACGGGAGGCAGCAGUAGGGAAUCUUGCGCAAUGGGCGAAAGCCUGACGCAGCCAUGCCGCGUGAAUGAUGAAGGUCUUAGGAUUGUAAAAUUCUUUCAGCGGGGACGAUAAUGACGGUACCCGCAGAAGAAGCCCCGGCUAACUUCGUGCCAGCAGCCGC